UACGUAGGUGGCAAGCGUUAUCCGGAUUUAUUGGGCGUAAAGGGAACGCAGGCGGUCUUUUAAGUCUGAUGUGAUAGCCUUCGGCUUAACCGGAGUAGUGCAUUGGAAACUGGGAGACUUGAGUGCAGAAGAGGAGAGUGGAACUCCAUGUGUAGCGGUGAAAUGCGUAGAUAUAUGGAAGAACACCAGUGGCGAAAGCGGCUCUCUGGCCUGUAACUGACACUGAGGCUCGAAAGCGUGGGGAGCAAACAGG
This 253-nucleotide ribosomal RNA is filed under the name uncultured bacterium. Its description in RNAcentral is "partial 16S ribosomal RNA". It matches the Rfam family "Bacterial small subunit ribosomal RNA", at positions 524 to 776 of the family's 1533-position model. The record is from RNAcentral.